This 490-nucleotide ribosomal RNA is filed under the name uncultured bacterium. Its description in RNAcentral is "partial 16S ribosomal RNA". It matches the Rfam family "Bacterial small subunit ribosomal RNA", at positions 30 to 507 of the family's 1533-position model. The record is from RNAcentral.
AUUGAACGCUGGCGGCAGGCCUAACACAUGCAAGUCGAACGGUAACAGGAAACAGCUUGCUGUUUCGCUGACGAGUGGCGGACGGGUGAGUAAUGUCUGGGAAACUGCCUGAUGGAGGGGGAUAACUACUGGAAACGGUAGCUAAUACCGCAUAACGUCGCAAGACCAAAGAGGGGGACCUUCGGGCCUCUUGCCAUCGGAUGUGCCCAGAUGGGAUUAGCUUGUUGGUGGGGUAACGGCUCACCAAGGCGACGAUCCCUAGCUGGUCUGAGAGGAUGACCAGCCACACUGGAACUGAGACACGGUCCAGACUCCUACGGGAGGCAGCAGUGGGGAAUAUUGCACAAUGGGCGCAAGCCUGAUGCAGCCAUGCCGCGUGUAUGAAGAAGGCCUUCGGGUUAUAAAGUACUUUCAGCGGGGAGGAAGGGAGUAAAGUUAAUACCUUUGCUCAUUGACGUUACCCGCAGAAGAAGCACCGGCUAACUCCGUG